GCCUGGGUGGCUCACUUGGUUAAGCAUCUGACUUUGGCUCAGGUCACGAUCUCACGGUUCGUGAGUUCAAGCCCCACAUCAGGCU
Molecule: transfer RNA, 85 nt
Filed under: Felis catus (domestic cat)
Lineage: Eukaryota; Metazoa; Chordata; Mammalia; Carnivora; Felidae
Rfam family: tRNA
About the family: Transfer RNA (tRNA) molecules are approximately 80 nucleotides in length. Their secondary structure includes four short double-helical elements and three loops (D, anti-codon, and T loops).
Source: Rfam by way of RNAcentral